UCCGCCCGCCGUUGAAACUGACGGUCUUGAGUGGGCGAGAAGUAUGCGGAAUGCGUGGUGUAGCGGUGAAAUGCAUAGAUAUCACGCAGAACUCCGAUUGCGAAGGCAGCAUACCGGCGCCCAACUGACGCUGAAGCACGAAAGCGUGGGUAUCGAACAGGAUUAGAUACCCUGGUAGUCCACGCAGUAAACGAUGAAUACUAGCUGUCCGGGGCGAAUGAGCCCUGGGUGGCACAGCGAAAGCGUUAAGUAUUCCACCUGGGGAGUACGCCGGCAACGGUGAAACUCAAAGGAAUUGACGGGGGCCCGCACAAGCGGAGGAACAUGUGGUUUAAUUCGAUGAUACGCGAGGAACCUUACCCGGGCUCAAACGACACAGGAACGUACCUGAAAGGGUUCGGCUCUACGGAGCCUGUGUCGAGGUGCUGCAUGGUUGUCGUCAGCUCGUGCCGUGAGGUGUCGGCUUAAGUGCCAUAACGAGCGCAACCCCCAUCGACAGUUGCUAACAGGUCAGGCUGAGGACUCUGUCGAGACUGCCGGCGCAAGCUGCGAGGAAGGCGGGGAUGACGUCAAAUCAGCACGGCCCUUACGUCCGGGGCGACACACGUGUUACAAUGGCAGGUACAGCGGGAAGCCACCUGGCGACAGGGAGCGGAACCCGAAAGCCUGUCUCAGUUCGGAUUGGAGUCUGCAACCCGACUCCAUGAAGCUGGAUUCGCUAGUAAUCGCGCAUCAGCCACGGCGCGGUGAAUACGUUCCCGGGCCUUGUACACACCGCCCGUCAAGCCAUGGAAGCCGGGGGUGCCUGAAGUGCGCUGCCGCGAGGAGCGCCCUAGGGUAAAACCGGUGACUGGGGCUAAGUCGUAACAAGGUAGCCGUAA
Molecule: ribosomal RNA, 881 nt
Filed under: uncultured bacterium
Lineage: Bacteria
Description: bacterial SSU rRNA
Rfam family: Bacterial small subunit ribosomal RNA
Source: RNAcentral